Zeugodacus cucurbitae (melon fly) is the source of this 3954-nucleotide long non-coding RNA. RefSeq lists it as uncharacterized. The transcript is spliced from 2 exons. The record is from RefSeq and is a predicted model, not a curated record. Lineage: Eukaryota; Metazoa; Arthropoda; Insecta; Diptera; Tephritidae.
UUACUGGUUUGCACAUAUGUACCUUGCAAAUUUUAUUUCUAUCAAGUCCAAAAUAUGGAAGUUACUCAAGUUUUUUUUCAUAUUUCAUUAAUAUCCUCUAGAGAAUUGAAUUUGCUUCUUGUUUUGUGCCUCUAUCCGAUUGCUAUGCAUAUGUAUAGUUACUUCUCCGAUCGUUACCUGAAUUUAUUAUGCUGUGCAACACUCGGCUGUCAAAAAUACAAAUAUGGUAUAUUAAAAAAAAGUAUUAUUAAAUACAGGAUAUAGUUACUAAAAAAUCCAAAAUAUUUAUAUAAUCUACAUUUACACACUUCGAAUCAGAAGAUUUUUCUUCUUAUGAAACAAUUAUAAUGUGCAAAUUAAGGAAGCAUCACUGUGCCUUUUUAUAGCACAGCAUACAGGAACACAAACAAUGUCAGCCUCGAAAUCCAGCGCAGAAUCACUCUUGCCUACAGGUGCUACUUUGGACUGAGUAGGCAAUUGAACAGUAAAGUCCUCUCUCGACGAACCAAAAUCAAACUCUACAAGUCGCUUAUCAUUCCCGUCCUGCUUUAUGGUGCAGAAGCUUGGACGAUGUCAACAUCAGAUGAGACGACACUAGGAGUUUUCGAGAGGAAAAUUUUGCGCAAGAUUUAUGGUCCUCAGAACAUUGGCAACGGCGAAUACCGCAGACGAUGGAACGAUGAGCUGUACGAGUUAUACGACGACAUUGACAUAGUUCAGCGAAUAAAAAGACAGCGGCUACGCUGGGUAGGUCAUCGUAAAUAUAUAAAUCUUGCACAAAUUUUUUCUCUCGAAAACUCCUAGUGUCGCCUGAUGUUGAAGUCGUCCUCGCUUCUGCACCAUAAAGCAGGACCGGAAUAAGCUAUUUGUAGAGUUUGAUUUUGGUUCGUCGAGAGAGAACUUUGCUUUUUAAUAGCUUACUCAAUAUAAAGUAGCGCCUGUUGGCAAGAGUGACUCUGCUUUGGAUUUAUUUGGUAUCUACUUCUUUUCCUUCUUUACUGUCGUAGACACCGCUUACGGGGUUAUAGCCGGUUUUGAUGCUGAUGCCUAGGUAUACGAAAUUAUCUACAACUUCAAAGUUUUGACUGUCAGCAGUGACUUGGGAGCCAAGACGCGAAUGCGCUGACUGUUUGUUUGAUUACAGGAGAUAUUUCGUCUUAUCCUCGCGCGGUUUUGUUUCCCAUGAUAACAUUUAUUUCUUAUUAAUAACAAAAAUACUUAUUAAUAACAAUGAAUAUGAAAAAAAAACAUUACAAAAUUAAGUAUAUGUUUUCCUUUGACAAUACUCAGCGCAUGCUGCAAUUGCAAACAAUUUUGUAUUUGUGGGAUAGGCACUUUAGCGGAGGCUCUUAACCGGGAAUUUUAUAUGUAAAUUUAGAGAAAAAACAACGAUGCCGUAAAAUAUUGUCCCUUAAGCGGGAAAGGCACUUAAACGGGGACACUUAAGCGGGGAUCACUGUAUAUAUGUAAAUAUGAGGUGACUAGUGAUGGCAUGAUUAAUCAUAUUGUAACGGAUUUCCAAAAUCUGUCGUUUACUCUAAAACUCUACCCUGAGUUCGAUCACUGGAUUGUCAAAUAAAAAUCACACUUUAAUGGCUAUACACUAAUCUUGAUUUCUAAAUCCUUAUAACUUAACACUUUAGUACUCAAUACUCUACUUUACAACUCUAACUUACAACUUGUUUACACUUUAUUCAACAACUCUCGCCUUAGAAUUGUGCUUACUCGACAACUCUCUUAUUGGAACUGUGUCUUGCUGCCAGUCCGGCAGCCCUUAUAUAGUCGAUUGUUGGCAAUACAUAGCCACUCGAACAUUCUGGCAACUACGAAUAUCGAUGUCUGGAUAAAUCUGGCAAGUUAUCGAUUUCGAUUGUCGAUUCUAGUUUGAUCUGCUAUCAUUUUCGUUAAAAUAUUGUAACGGAUUUCCAAAAUCUGCCGUUUACUCUAAAACUCUACCCUGAGUUCGAUCACUGGAUUGUCAAAUAAAAGUCACACUUUAAUGGCUAUACACUAAUCUUUAUUUCUAAUUCCUUAUAACUUAACACUUUAGUACUCAAUACUCUACUUUACAACUCUAACUUAUAACUUGUUUACACUUUGCUCGACAACUCUCUCCUUAGAAUUGUCCUCACUCGACAACUCUCUUAUCAGAACUGUGUCUUGCUGCCAGCCCGGCAGCCCUUAUAUAGUCGAUUGCUAGCAUGUUAUCGUCACUCGAACAUUCUGGCAACUACGAAUAUCGAUGUCUAGAUACAUCUGGCAAGUUAUCGCUUUCGAUUGUCUAUUCUAGUUUGUUCUGGUGCCAUUUUCGUUACAAUAUUAUAUGCAAUAAUCGAUUAUUUUGUUUCAUACAACGAUUUAAUUCCAUUGAUUUAUGGGUUGCAAAUAAUUGAAUCAUUAAUCGAUUAUUCGACAAAUUAAUCGUAUGAUAUAAUUUGUAUCAUUAUAUUUUUUGGCGCCAUAUUUAUUGUGAACCAGAAGUUUUGUGAAAAAUUAUAAAAAAUGGCUCUGACGCCAAGUAAAAAUAUGAUAUGCAAUAAUCGAUUAUUUUGUUUCAUAUAACGAUUUAAUUGCAUUGAUUUAUGGGUUGCAAAUAAUUGAAUCAUUAAUCGAUUAUUCGACAAAUUAAUCGUGUGAUAUAAUUUGUAAUAUUAUUUUUUUUGCCGCCAUAUUUAUUGUGAACCAGAAGUUUUGUGAAAAAUUAUAAGAAAUGGCCCUGACGUCAAGUAAAGUGUGGCAAUAUUUUGGCAAAAAAGACGACAAAGAAGUCCACUGUCGACUGUGCUCUAAAAUACUCAAGUAUUGCAAAAAUACUACCAACUGCUUCAGCAUUUAAAGUUCAAGCAUGUCAAAGAGUUUGCAUCACUCAAGGUGACACAAGCCGGAACCGAAACGGAAGAAAUUGAGAUGCCUAGCACAAGGCGUAUUUUAACAUCAGUUCCCCAGCCAGCCAACAACAUCAAAUACUUUUAAUUUAGUUUGCACGAAUGCCUUAGAGAUUGAUGACGCUGCUAAUCUAGCAGCCAAAUGUCGUUCUAUUGUCCUCUGGUUGAACCGCAACGGCAGAUCUAAAGAAAACUCGUAUCAGCUGCAGGUUUCUGCUGGCGUAUCAGAGGGAAAUCGAUGUUAAAAUCAAGUUGUCAAGCUUAUUUCUUAUAUCGGCCAAGUUCUUUUUAAUUUUUCGGAUGUACCGCAGAUGAUAUCGACAAAAGACAAAAAUGAUAUAAUUGAAAUUAUUGCCUUGCUCAAGCCACUGGAAGCUAUGGCAACACAGAUAAGUGGGAAGAAAUAUGCAACUUUGAGCCAAGUGAUACCCAUUACUCAUUGUGGACGCUAACAAAUAAUGAGAGUAGUGUGCACGUCAUCUACGGGAAAUAAGCUAAAAGCGGCUAUAUUGUCACAUUUUGGUCGGCUGUUCGGAUCCAUGGAACAUUCGUUCUUAUUAGCCGCAUUCACAUUUUUGGAUCCGCGCUUUAAGAAAACACAUUUUAAAGAUCCACUGGCAUUGGCUUCAGUUAUGAAGCAUAUACGGAAUGAAUUAACCGCACUUUCGCAUAUAGACGAAAGCAUAGAAAAUAUUAUACGAGUGACGGGAGUGUCGAAGAAACAUGACGAACCAUCUCAAAUCCAGGACGAACUAACGUUUUUCCUCAAUGCCCGUCAUGGAGCUAAAAACUAAUGUGGUCAAUACCUGGGAGAAGAUGAAACAGUAUUUUCAAAAUUGUACACAAUUGCCAAUAUUCCCAAUUGGCACUUAGUCCCGGCGGACUAUUGUAAACUAUGUAAAAUUAAUGUUUGUAUUUAUUAUUGAUGGUAAAACUAAAAGAAAAUAAUAAAAUCACAUGAUUAAUCGAUAAUUUUAAUUUUUUAGCGAUUAAUUUAAAUUAAUAAUCGCAUAGACUUAAUUAAUCAUAUAAUCCAUUAGUUAAUAAAUAAAUUUUUUUCCCAUCACUA